AACGAACGCUGGCGGCAUGCCUAACACAUGCAAGUCGAACGAGACCUUCGGGUCUAGUGGCGCACGGGUGCGUAACGCGUGGGAAUCUGCCCUUAGGUACGGAAUAACUCAGGGAAACUUGAGCUAAUACCGUAUAAUGACUUCGGUCCAAAGAUUUAUCGCCUAAGGAUGAGCCCGCGUCGGAUUAGCUAGUUGGUGAGGUAAAAGCUCACCAAGGCGACGAUCCGUAGCNGGUCUGAGAGGAUGAUCAGCCACACUGGGACUGAGACACGGCCCAGACUCCUACGGGAGGCAGCAGUGGGGAAUAUUGGACAAUGGGCGAAAGCCUGAUCCAGCAAUGCCGCGUGAGUGAUGAAGGCCUUAGGGUUGUAAAGCUCUUUUACCCGGGAUGAUAAUGACAGUACCGGGAGAAUAAGCCCCGGCUAACUUCGUGCCAGCAGCCGCGGUAAC
This 450-nucleotide ribosomal RNA is filed under the name uncultured bacterium. Its description in RNAcentral is "bacterial SSU rRNA". It matches the Rfam family "Bacterial small subunit ribosomal RNA", at positions 29 to 524 of the family's 1533-position model. The record is from RNAcentral.